Molecule: ribosomal RNA, 281 nt
Filed under: uncultured bacterium
Lineage: Bacteria
Description: partial 16S ribosomal RNA
Rfam family: Bacterial small subunit ribosomal RNA
Source: RNAcentral
GUGCCAGCAGCCGCGGUAAUACAUAGGGGUCAAGCGUUGUCCGGAUUUAUUGGGCGUAAAGAGCUCGUAGGCGGUUCAACAAGUCGGUCGUAAAAGUUUAGGGCUCAACCCUAAAAUGUCGAUCGAUACUGUUGUGACUAGGAUACGGUAGAGGUGAAUGGAAUUCCGAGUGUAGCGGUGAAAUGCGUAGAUAUUGUGAGGAACACCAGUGGCGAAAGCGGCUAUCUGGACGGUGACUGACGCUGAGGCACGAAAGCAUAGGUAGCAAACAGGAUUAGAUA